AUUGAACGCUGGCGGCAGGCCUAACACAUGCAAGUCGAACGAGACCUUCGGGUCUAGUGGCGCACGGGUGCGUAACGCGUGGGAACCUGCCCUUAGGUUCGGAAUAACUCCCCGAAAGGGGUGCUAAUACCGGAUAAUGUCUUCGGACCAAAGAUUUAUCGCCUUUGGAUGGGCCCGCGUUGGAUUAGCUAGUUGGUAGGGUAAAAGCCUACCAAGGCGACGAUCCAUAGCUGGUCUGAGAGGAUGAUCAGCCACACUGGGACUGAGACACGGCCCAGACUCCUACGGGAGGCAGCAGUGGGGAAUAUUGGACAAUGGGCGAAAGCCUGAUCCAGCAAUGCCGCGUGAGUGAUGAAGGCCUUAGGGUUGUAAAGCUCUUUUACCCGGGAUGAUAAUGACAGUACCGGGAGAAUAAGCUCCGGCUAACUCCGUG
RNAcentral lists this ribosomal RNA (433 nucleotides) under uncultured bacterium. Its description in RNAcentral is "partial 16S ribosomal RNA". It matches the Rfam family "Bacterial small subunit ribosomal RNA", at positions 30 to 507 of the family's 1533-position model. The record is from RNAcentral.